RNAcentral lists this ribosomal RNA (231 nucleotides) under uncultured bacterium. RNAcentral's name for it is "partial 16S ribosomal RNA". It matches the Rfam family "Bacterial small subunit ribosomal RNA", at positions 15 to 238 of the family's 1533-position model. The record is from RNAcentral.
GAUCCUGGCUCAGGACGAACGCUGGCGGCGUGCCUAAUACAUGCAAGUAGAACGCUGAAGGAGGAGCUUGCUCUUCUGGAUGAGUUGCGAACGGGUGAGUAACGCGUAGGUAACCUGCCUGGUAGCGGGGGAUAACUAUUGGAAACGAUAGCUAAUACCGCAUAAUAUUGACUAUUGCAUGAUAGUCAAUUGAAAGGUACAAAUGCACCACUACCAGAUGGACCUGCGUUG